Molecule: transfer RNA, 60 nt
Filed under: Gyrodactylus salaris (gyrodactylosis fluke)
Lineage: Eukaryota; Metazoa; Platyhelminthes; Monogenea; Gyrodactylidea; Gyrodactylidae
Description: tRNA-Cys
Source: RNAcentral
GUGUAUGCCAUAAGCUUAUUUUGCAAAAAUAAGUACGGUAGUUUAUUUUACCCAUACAUU